Molecule: ribosomal RNA, 254 nt
Filed under: uncultured bacterium
Lineage: Bacteria
Description: partial 16S ribosomal RNA
Rfam family: Bacterial small subunit ribosomal RNA
Source: RNAcentral
UACGUAGGGGGCUAGCGUUGUCCGGAAUCAUUGGGCGUAAAGAGCGCGUAGGCGGCCAGAUAAGUCCGGUGUGAAAGUCAAAGGCUCAACCUUUGAAUGCCGCUGGAAACUGUCUGGCUAGAGUCCGGGAGGGGCGAGUGGAAUUCCUGGUGUAGCGGUGAAAUGCGCAGAUAUCAGGAGGAACACCAAUGGCGAAGGCAGCUCGCUGGAACGGUACUGACGCUGGAGGCGCGAAAGCGUGGGGAGCGAACAGG